RNAcentral lists this long non-coding RNA (1077 nucleotides) under Chrysolophus pictus (golden pheasant). Its description in RNAcentral is "lncRNA (ENSCPIG00010007685.1)". Lineage: Eukaryota; Metazoa; Chordata; Aves; Galliformes; Phasianidae. The record is from RNAcentral.
CGCGGGGCCGCGCGGGGCGUGAAGCCAGAGACGGCGGAGGGGGUCAGGGCCCGCCCCGGGGUCGGAGCCGCCGCGGUCGUCUCCGGAUUUGGGCUGAAAACAGAAGGGGAAGGCGCCGAGCUUCCAGCCGUGCCGCUUCCUUUGUUGUCGUCGCGCGGUGACAUCACUGUCUGUGCCGCUCUCGGUGCUCCGGAGGCCGCGCGCUCGGCGCUGCCCGGCUUUGUCUGCGGCGCUCCGGCAGCAGCUGAACCGGAGUAACUUUUGUGCUGCCGGAGAUCCUAUUUCUUUCGGCUGCGUGAGGUUCCGGGAAGGGCUGUUUGGUCUUCUGUCCGCAGAGGACGUGUGAAUUUACGUCUGAUGACGAGCUGGGGAAAAACGCCGGGUGCUCUGUCACGUCCUCGCAGCCGUGGGUCCCGGCACGGCCCGGUCCUGAGCUCUGUGCUGCGGUGGCCCCCGAAAGGAGGACACGGAACUCAGGGCUGCGUUUGUCCUCUGCUUCGUCUCUGUCCCCUAAGGAGGAAAUGUACGUGGCUCUGAGAGCAGGACAUGAGCCCUGUCUGGAGGGAUCUGUGACAAUGACAGGAGCAAGUCCCCGUUCCUGUGUAUCACCCAACCCCCAGCCAGACCCGGCUGGCAACACAGCUGACAGAGGAAGAGCAAAUCCGAAUAGCGCAGAGGAUAGGCCUUAUCCAGCACCUACCGAAGGGAGUCUAUGAUCCUGGAAGAGAUGGCUCCGAGAAGAAGAUCAGAGAAUGCGUCAUUUGUAUGAUGGACUUUGUGUAUGGGGACCCUAUUCGAUUUCUGCCUUGCAUGCACAUCUACCACCUGGACUGUAUAGAUGACUGGUUGAUGAGAUCCUUUACCUGUCCAUCCUGCAUGGAGCCAGUGGAUGCAGCACUGCUUUCAUCAUACGAGACUAACUGAGCCAGGGUUUCUCCGUGAACCUUCAAGGAGACCAUCCACUUCAAUGGGUUUGAUCCUUUUGUCAUUCAGCCCAAAGAGCCAGAAAUUAGGAAUUAAGGUCAUGCACAAAACAUACAUUUCCUAAUGAAUAAAAAAUACUCCUGAAUGGCUGCA